AGAGUUUGAUCCUGGCUCAGGAUGAACGCUGGCGGUAUGCUUAACACAUGCAAGUCGAACGAUGUUUUAGGACAUAGUGGCGGACGGGUGAGUAACGCGUAAGAAUCUACCUUCAGGUUUGGGACAACCACUGGAAACGGUGGCUAAUACCGAAUGUGCCGAGAGGUGAAAGGCUUGCUGCCUGAAGAAGAGCUUGCGUCUGAUUAGCUAGUUGGUGGGGUAAGAGCCUACCAAGGCGACGAUCAGUAGCUGGUCUGAGAGGAUGAUCAGCCACACUGGGACUGAGACACGGCCCAGACUCCUACGGGAGGCAGCAGUGGGGAAUUUUCCGCAAUGGGCGAAAGCCUGACGGAGCAAUACCGCGUGAGGGAGGAAGGCUCUUGGGUUGUAAACCUCUUUUCUCAGGGAAGAAGAAAAUGACGGUACCUGAGGAAUAAGCAUCGGCUAACUCCGUGCCAGCAGCCGCGGUAAUACGGAGGAUGCAAGCGUUAUCCGGAAUGAUUGGGCGUAAAGGGUCCGCAGGUGGUAGUGUAAGUCUGCUGUUAAAGAGUCACGCUCAACGUGAUCAAAGCAGUGGAAACUACACAACUAGAGUACGGUAGGGGCAGAAGGAAUUCCUGGUGUAGCGGUGAAAUGCGUAGAUAUCAGGAAGAACACCGGUGGCGAAAGCGUUCUGCUAGACCUGUACUGACACUGAGGGACGAAAGCUAGGGGAGCGAAUGGGAUUAGAUACCCCAGUAGUC
Molecule: ribosomal RNA, 743 nt
Rfam family: Bacterial small subunit ribosomal RNA